RNAcentral lists this unclassified non-coding RNA (3338 nucleotides) under Leishmania donovani. Its description in RNAcentral is "gene:LdHU3.36.0500(CDS-product:hypothetical_prote in_conserved)". Lineage: Eukaryota; Euglenozoa; Kinetoplastea; Trypanosomatida; Trypanosomatidae. The record is from RNAcentral.
UUUUGUCGGUAAACGGGCUUGAGGCGCCUCCCAACUGCUUCCGAAAAGAAAAAUAAAUACCUGUACACAGACGCUACUUAGAGCCCUGCGCACAUCGCGGCACACCCGCCGUUCUGCCCGUGCACAUCUUUUUUUGAAGUUGUUUUCUCAUUGCCCUUCUUUGCAUCGCCUUUCACCCUGACUUUCUCGCGCCUUUUUUUUUCUGUUUACCUAGAUCAUCAUAUCUGUCCACUCUCUUCCCCCAUUAAGCUGCUUAUUAUCCUACCAAUGCAGAAGCCGCGCACUGUGUCGGCGACGACGCUUCCGCAGGUGGCGGCGGUACCGCGUCCUCCGAUGUCGGGGGUCGCAGCGGCAGCACUACAUCAUCGCAGUUACCACGUGGCCGUCACCGCGAGUAGCCGGCCGCGACGAGUUUCGCUCAACGCACCAAGACAUGUGCCGAAGUACAUCUUUACCGAACCCACUUCUGUCCCGUGGCCUCGCUCCCUGCGCGGCGCUCAUGACAUCUGUGCAACUGUUUCGCAUAGUCGACAGCGCACGCUGUGCAAGACGAGUGAAGAUUCCGUUCUAAAGGCACGCCCUCGAACCGUCUCUGCCGCAGACUCCGCGAAGGUGCUCGCCAUUCGAGGCGUUCCAUUCGCAGCGGAUAAGCUCGGCACGGGGAAAGACGAGGAUUCGUCGCAGCUCAACGAUGGCUUUGAUGGCGGCUUGUCAAGCUCCACGCUCACCACCUGCUCUCCGAAAGGGCCGCGGCAUCAGCCGAUCCAGCCGGGCCGCAUGCUGAAGCUGCAGCUGGACACCGCUGCCAUCGAGGAUGAGCUGAAGCUGUCGGCCAACUCGAAGUCGGCGACCGCUGUGAGCCCCACGACCCCGCGGCCGGAGAAGCUCGCGGCAUACCACGCUCUGCGGCUUCUCUUCGUCCCCAUCUGGAAGCUCUACCGCUUUCACAAGCAGAUGGUGCGGGCGACGGCGAUUGUGGCCAAACACGUGCUUCUUAAGGUCCACUGGCGGCGGCACCGUCGCAGCGAACGAGCCACUGACACCUUUCUUCACUUGCUACGCAUCCCGCGCACGAAGCUGCGCUGCGCUGCUCAUCUCCUAGAAGGGCGAGUGGUGCGCAUCCAGCGUGCCUUCCGGCGCCACCGCGCGCGUGUGCAGGCCGUGGUAGAGCUCAACUACCGCAAGGUGCGUCGUGAUGUGGAGGAGGCGUACUGGGAAGCCGUCGUUACACAGCAUGAGGCGGAGCUUGCCGUGCAGCAACGACCCUUUAGUCCUGUGCCAAAGGCGGUACGAGAGGUGUUCGGGGCAAGGGCAGAGGCGCGGGCACGUUUUGGCUCGAUUCAGCGCCGCACAUGUCUUCUCAGCUCUGCUGAAAAAUCGUCGUAUGACGCUGCAGCUCCCAGCUGCGAGCUGGACGUCUACAGCUUUCACAUGAUCGGCCGGCUGCCCGAGUCGCUGCUCCGCUUUGAGAUGACCUCCGCUGUGUUUGCGCAACUUCGGCGGUCCGCUGCGCGAGCGCACUUGAUGGACGACUUCUCCGAGACGCGGGCUCGACGCGCAGGGAUGGAGAGUCUCAUGGAGCCAGGCGACAUUACACCCACAAAUACUGCGUUUGUGCGCAGCAGAGGAAAGUGUCGUGCGCAGAUGCCGCGCUUUCUGCCGGAGAGCGUCUACGCUGCCAUCCUGAAUAACACAUGUUACCUGACGAGUCUGAUGCGCGACGACCGGAAGCUGCGGGCCCACUUGCGCCAACGUGAACAUCACUUAGAAUCGUAUUGAGCAGUGCAGCGUUUUUUUUUUUUGCGUGUGCCUCGAGACUGCCCUCCCCCCCCAAGCAGCCUACCUCUUCCACUCGCUUGGUGUGAUGCAACAGAGGACCCACCUUUAAGCGCGCCUCCGCGUCGUGCUGCCCUUGCCGCUCACGCAUCAGGAGCGUUUCUCUGUUCGUGACGCGGCGUUUCUUGCACUUAUGUGAGGCAGUGCGGAGGCGAGCCCUUUCUCGUUGUGCUUGUGGAUGUUGUCGCCUGCCUUUUUGGUUAUCGUUUGCGCCUCGGCGGUGUGGUGCGCGGCGCGCGAGCUCUGCCGUUCGCGUCGUGGGGGAGGGCAUUUGUGUCCAUGAAGGAGUAUUCGAGCAUCAUUUUGUUUUGUGGAAUGACGAGAGAAGCGCGGCUGCGUGCGGGAGCAAGUGCGAAAAAUGUGCGCCGGUGGGUGGUGAUAGGCCAACGCCUCUGUCCUUGGUUUUGGGUGCUUCGCUUGGUUUUUGCUUCACGUCAUCUCUUCUUUUCACCAUUAUGUAAACUACCAACCAUGUCGGUGUAGAGAGCGGCGACUCACGGCGGUGUUGCGGCACCCACCUCCCAGUAAUCCAACACCUCGACGAUGGGCGUACAGUUGCGUAAGUGAAAAGGCAUCUGUGACUCGAUAUAUCUCUCUUUGCGCGCGCUUGUGCCUGUGGCGAUGCGUGUGUGCCGUCGUGCAUGCCUGUGCGCGUCCUUUAUUCCUUGCGCCCCUGGCGCGUUCUUCCCUUUCCUCUGCCCAUUUGUUUUUGUUUCGCCUUUUCCGUGUCAUGUCUGCGCCUCUGCUCCCUCUCACCUUUUUUUUUGGUGUAGCACACUUUUUGUUGCGGUGGUCUCUCUUUUUUUUGUUGGGGUAUGUCUGUGUUCUUUCUCGGCCAUGCGUGUGAGACACUCUGUUCAGGCUGCGCCGCUCCCCUGCCCUUACGCACUGGAACUUCCGUAUGCGCCACCUGGUAACUGCGAGCCCCGCGCUCGCGCAAACAGGUACCUGCCUGCAAAUACAUCGGUGGGCCUUGCCUCACCACUUUGUUCCAAUAUAUAUAUAUAUAUAUGUACAUACACUGUUCCUCUCCUUUUGUUGAAGAGAGCGCCCGUCGUGAUCCCGCCGCUCUCUUCCGUGCACCGCUGUCUUGUGAGUGAAGUGACGCUGAACAACAAGGAAAAAACGAAAAAAAAACAUUUCUGCCGUUUUCUUUGCUGUUCUUUUCAUGCGUUGUCUUCGCGCGCGCGCACAGAUGCGGACGCGCACGCUUUUCUCUGGUGGAAAACAAAGAACAAGAGCAGGCGCACAUAGACGCAGCAGCCGUAUCGCGUCACGCUUUUACAGCUUCGGAGCACGAAAAGAAGUAAGUGAGCACCCUUUUUUUUUGUUUUCUAGUUUUCUGUCUGUUGUUGGCUUCUGUGUCAAGAGCGAAACGGGCGGGACUCCCUUUUUGUCUCCUUUUUCUCCCUUUCUGUUAUGCGACCUGUCGUUGCCUUGUUUUAUUUUUUUUUUUGUGUGUAAUCUCGAAAUGCGUUGAGAUCAUCGUUACACGCGCAAAU